Molecule: unclassified non-coding RNA, 235 nt
Filed under: uncultured Spizellomycetales
Lineage: Eukaryota; Fungi; Chytridiomycota; Chytridiomycetes; Spizellomycetales
Description: sequence contains ITS1
Source: RNAcentral
AAAAUUCAAUAGCCUCUCAUUGGUACCGCUGCAAAGCUGGGAAACAAUGAAUGUUGGCACCACAUCUUGUGAACUGUAAUGUCUUUGGUGGUUGGGCGGUCUGCUUGUUUCAAGCAUUCCGUCUGUCAGCUUGAGUUCCAACACUCAAGCCGUGGACAAGCCACCGCCUGUGUAUUCAAACUUAUAUUUGUCUUCUGUUUUUUUUGUCUAACAUUUUUUUGUAUAAAUAUACAAA